Molecule: ribosomal RNA, 414 nt
Filed under: Uncinaria lucasi
Lineage: Eukaryota; Metazoa; Nematoda; Chromadorea; Rhabditida; Ancylostomatidae
Description: partial 12S ribosomal RNA
Source: RNAcentral
AAAUUUUUAUAUAAUUAUAGGUUAAAUUUUAAUUAUUUAAAAUGUGUAGUUAUAAUUUUAAAUUUUGUUAAUCGAAUUAGAUUAGUACCUAAUUAGUCAAAAGUUAAAAAAGCAGAAGUAAAGUAAAAUUUAAACUGAAAGAAUAUUGGCAGAUUUUCUAAAUUAUCUUUGGAGGUUGAGUAAUAAUUGAGAACCCUCAUUAACUACUUUUUUAGUAGUCUCAUGUAUGAUCGUUUAUUAUAUGCUUAAGGGAUAUAAUUAAAAAUUUUUAUUUAAAAAAAUAGAUAUAUAUUUGGUUUAUAUAAAAGUAAUAUUUGACCUACAGUAAUUUGUAAUUGUGGAUCUAUUUUUUAGUAAAGUAGUGAAAAUGUAAAAGACAGUAAAAAAAUUUUUAUGAUUUUUUGAAGAUUAUUU